This 520-nucleotide ribosomal RNA is filed under the name uncultured Glomus. Its description in RNAcentral is "SSU rRNA". It matches the Rfam family "Eukaryotic small subunit ribosomal RNA", at positions 569 to 1092 of the family's 1831-position model. The record is from RNAcentral. Lineage: Eukaryota; Fungi; Glomeromycota; Glomeromycetes; Glomerales; Glomeraceae.
AGCAGCCGCGGUAAUUCCAGCUCCAAUAGCGUAUAUUAAAGUUGUUGCAGUUAAAAAGCUCGUAGUUGAAUUUCGGGGUUAGUAGUUUGGUCGUGCCAAUGGUAUGUACUGGGCUCACUGAUUCCUCCUUCCUGAUGAACUGUAAUGCCAUUAAUUUGGUGUUGCAGGGAAACAGGACUGUUACUUUGAAAAAUUAGAGUGUUUAAAGCAAGCUAACGCUUGAAUACAUUAGCAUGGAAUAAUGAAAUAGGACGUUCGAACCUAUUUUGUUGGUUUCUAGGAUUGACGUAAUGAUUAAUAGGGAUAGUUGGGGGCAUUAGUAUUCAAUUGUCAGAGGUGAAAUUCUUGGAUUUAUUGAAGACUAACUACUGCGAAAGCAUUUGCCAAGGAUGUUUUCAUUAAUCAAGAACGAAAGUUAGGGGAUCGAAGACGAUCAGAUACCGUCGUAGUCUUAACCAUAAACUAUGCCGACUAGGGAUCGGAUGAUGUUAAUUUUUAAUGACUCAUUCGGCGCCUUAAC